Molecule: ribosomal RNA, 253 nt
Filed under: uncultured bacterium
Lineage: Bacteria
Description: partial 16S ribosomal RNA
Rfam family: Bacterial small subunit ribosomal RNA
Source: RNAcentral
UACGAAGGUGGCAAGCGUUGUUCGGAUUUACUGGGCGUAAAGGGAGCGUAGGCGGUUUGGUAAGCCCUCCGGGAAAUCUCCCGGCCCAACCGGGAAAGGUCGGAGGGGACUGCUUGACUAGAGGGCGGGAGAGGAGCGCGGAAUUCCCGGUGUAGCGGUGAAAUGCGUAGAGAUCGGGAGGAAGGCCGGUGGCGAAGGCGGCGCUCUGGAACGAUCCUGACGCUGAGGCUCGAAAGCGUGGGGAGCAAACAGG